This 223-nucleotide long non-coding RNA is filed under the name Carica papaya (papaya). RNAcentral describes it as "long non-coding RNA (CPAP_LNC016068)". Lineage: Eukaryota; Viridiplantae; Streptophyta; Magnoliopsida; Brassicales; Caricaceae. The record is from RNAcentral.
GGACGGUCGAGAUCAAGCAUGAUGAAUGACCCAGACUAAUGCAAGACGGGUACAAAUAUUUCGCAUCACACUGAACCCGAACCCUAACUGCCAGACUUCCGUCGGAGAAGAAGAACUAGUCACUGGAUAAGGGAGUCGACCGUUGCCCACCGCAAUGCGGAGCCACCUUUGACCACCAAAAAAGGUAAAAAUUCUACUAUCCGCUUAGAAUUUGAUUUCGAGC